This is a long non-coding RNA of Haliotis rufescens (red abalone), 934 nucleotides long. RefSeq lists it as uncharacterized. NCBI's taxonomy places the organism in Eukaryota, Metazoa, Mollusca, Gastropoda, Lepetellida, Haliotidae. The record is from RefSeq and is a predicted model, not a curated record. The transcript is spliced from 2 exons.
AGCAUUGACAUGCACCAACCAAGUCAGCGAGCGUGACCACGCGAUCCCCUAUAUGACAGCAGCCUCCAAGUGAUCAGAUACGGAUAUCAUGAGCAACGACUCACACCGUCGGGGGUAUGAUGAAACGCAAAAAGAUCUCUGAGUGUGCCUGCCCGAUCCAUGAGGUCACCUGUUACGAUCAGCAUAGAUUGUUGAGGACCUAUUCUGACCGGGAAUCACGGAAGAAGAAUUUCACGGUGUUAAACCGCUUCCCUAGGCGGUUGUGUUGAACAAUAAAGCGAUCUGACAGCUCUGUCGACCUCAUUGCAACUCAUUAAAGUAAAUAUAACAAAGAUGUAUAACGAUAGAUAGGUUCAUAGCACUGAAACCACGUAGUGGACUUAACAAACAAUAGCCACUGGUCAAGUUACAGGCAUCUUCCCGAGGCAAAGGAUUAACUGACUAGAAAAGUCCAGGAUCUACCCACAUUGUUUACGCAUCAGGAAGUCGAUUUCGUUACGUGAUUUUGAUUGGACAAUGCAUUCACUCGUAUGUCCAGCCAAAAUAUAACUAAAAAAUUCCAGCCUAGUUCGGCAAGGGUGGAAACUUUAAGAAAAAUACAAAAGUACAAUAAAACGCUGCAGGGAGAAUAAACACUAUGAACAGCCUCUUUAAGGAUGAUUAAAAAAAUUAAAAGCUUUAAAAACAUUUACCCGUAUUUAAAUAAUUAUGACUUCCGCAAUAGAAUCCGACCCCCGCAAUGUCGGACAAGUCCAUUCUGUGCCCAAGGGGCGCAACUCUUCACAGCAAAUCGCGGCGCCAUAGCCGACUGGGCCACCCGUGCCACUUAGCAGUGUGAUAAGGGUCCACAGGGUCUGCAUUAUUGAAGAAACAGGAUAAACUUUUUAAUAUGUUUUGAGUGUCAUUACGGAUAAAUAAAUGAGAUCUUAUCUUU